This is a long non-coding RNA of Alligator sinensis (Chinese alligator), 1508 nucleotides long. RefSeq lists it as uncharacterized. The transcript is spliced from 3 exons. Lineage: Eukaryota; Metazoa; Chordata; Crocodylia; Alligatoridae. The record is from RefSeq and is a predicted model, not a curated record.
GGAGAGGACGGCAGCCUAGAUUCACAGGGAUUUCCUAAUGGUUUUGAUUUUCCUAAUGGUUUUGAUAUUUGUUUGGUCGCUCCUGGGUUCCUCCCCCCGAAAGCUGCAGUUGGUUUUUCCAUCGUUCUGUACAGAGGGUGGACUUGCCAGUCCAUAUAUGAAGCAUAAACUUUGGAUUCUGAUACAGAGGAUCUGCUUCCAUGGGUAGAGCCCACUCCAUAGCUGUGACAUCAAGGACCCAUCGACUCAUCUCCUCCUCCUGCUUUUCCUGACCCUCCAAGCCUGUUGCAGAAAUUGGAUCCUGGCAACAGAAGAGGACUGAAAACACUUCUGUCCCUACCGAAAAAAAAGGCCAGCAUGUUCGUGGGCAAAAAGGUCAUCCCGUUCCAGCAGGCAUGACCUUCGUCCCAUUCAUGCCUGCAGCCACAGCAUGAGAUAGGAUUCUACACUUGGUGGUAACUCAAGCCGCAUACAUGCUCUUGAAAGAAAGGUAACCAAAGGGGUAGUCCAGAGGCUCCUUGGUAGUUCUACAGGACCCGGGACAAAACAGAAGCAGGAGCUUCAUCUUCACUUCCCCUACAAAGAUGCUAGGAUUUCACCAGGUAGAGAACUUGGUUUGCUUUUGAAUCAAUCACCUUUUCCCCAAUCCCUAGACUUCAGUACCCUUUAGAUCCAAUGCAGAAGGAACUGACAUUGGAGAUUGAGAGCCCACAGUAGCCGCCUAGGGGGAGGAGAGGGGAGGUCAGGUCUGUGAUGAAGAAUCAUCACAAUCAGUUUUGACUGAUGUCCAGCUGGAGGGGGACACUGCAGCAAGAGGGGGAGGGAGCCUUUGCUCUUCGACCCUCCACUUAGUGUUUCAUGGUUGGGAGGUGCUAGAUAUCUCCUGUAAAAAAAAGUUGGCUCAGACAUUGCGUCUCAUGCAUCUGAUGGGAUGGGGUGUUUGACACAUCUAUACCAUACCUACUGAUUAUUCAUGCCAGACAGAAAUAAAAUGCUUGUGAGAUCCAUGUGUGAGAUGGUAAUUUCUGUUCAAAAUAUCUGAGGGUGGGCUGGGAAAAACCACAUUUCCUCUAUCUGCUACAGGGAACCUCUUCCCAUGCCCAAGCACAUAACUGGGUGUCAAGGAAGGGCUGAUGGAGUUAACAAAUGGUGCGAGGCCUUGGGAGUUCCUGUUCCUGACACCCUCCCUCCUGCUAUAGAUCCUUGCUCUGUGGACAACAGGAACUGGACAGAUCCAUACCAUCUGGGAAAUCCCAUCCUAUCUUCCCUAUUGCUGCCACAAGGAGAUGUUCUCCCCUAGCAAAUCCAAGCCUACACGUGCUGCAAGGGGCCAGACUGUUGUUAUAGCAUCAGUCAAUUGUACUUCUCUCAAUGGGACCUUCCACUGAGACAUCUCAAAGUACCUUGCAGACAUGAAUGACCAGAGCCUUGCAACACUUUCCCUGGGGGAAAGAAGUAUCAUCCCCAUUUCAAGAGAUGGAGCAACCUGACAUAGCAAGGGAGCUCCC